GGAUGCGAUCAUACCAGCACUAAAGCACCGGAUCCCAUCAGAACUCCGAAGUUAAGCGUGCUUGGGCUAGAAUAGUACUAGGAUUUUUACGAGGAAGUCCUCGUGUUGCAUCCC
Non-coding RNA from Lolium perenne, 114 nucleotides. NCBI's taxonomy places the organism in Eukaryota, Viridiplantae, Streptophyta, Magnoliopsida, Poales, Poaceae. The record is from RefSeq and is a predicted model, not a curated record.